UUAUUUUAGCGGCGGACGGGUGAGUAACGUGUGGGUAACCUGCCUUUUACUGGGGAAUAAUCGUUGGAAACGACGACUAAUACCGCAUACGGUUCUUGGAAGGCAUCUUCUAAGAAAGAAAGGAUUUAUUCGGUAAAAGAUGGGCCCGCAUCUGAUUAGCUAGUUGGUGAGAUAAUAGCCCACCAAGGCAACGAUCAGUAGCCGACCUGAGAGGGUGACCGGCCACAUUGGGACUGAGACACGGCCCAAACUCCUACGGAAGGCAGCAG
RNAcentral lists this ribosomal RNA (269 nucleotides) under uncultured bacterium. Its description in RNAcentral is "partial 16S ribosomal RNA". It matches the Rfam family "Bacterial small subunit ribosomal RNA", at positions 87 to 354 of the family's 1533-position model. The record is from RNAcentral.